This 92-nucleotide transfer RNA is filed under the name Bacteroidetes bacterium 43-93. RNAcentral describes it as "tRNA-Ser". It matches the Rfam family "tRNA". Rfam says of the family: Transfer RNA (tRNA) molecules are approximately 80 nucleotides in length. Their secondary structure includes four short double-helical elements and three loops (D, anti-codon, and T loops). RNAcentral also lists the same sequence under 2 other names. The record is from RNAcentral. Lineage: Bacteria; Pseudomonadati; Bacteroidota.
GGUGAGGUGGGUGAGAGGCCGAAACCAACAGUUUGCUAAACUGUCGUACGAGUCAAAUCGUACCGAGGGUUCGAAUCCCUCCCUCACCGCCA